Molecule: long non-coding RNA, 796 nt
Filed under: Triticum aestivum (bread wheat)
Lineage: Eukaryota; Viridiplantae; Streptophyta; Magnoliopsida; Poales; Poaceae
Description: long non-coding RNA (TAES_LNC004214)
Source: RNAcentral
UCGAUUAUUCCCUCAAGCAGGAGUAAUAUAAUGGCCAGCACAAUUUGUAACAAUGGUAGGCCAGUAAUUACAGUACUUAAAAUGGCCUGUGAAAAUCAAACUAAAUACAUACAUACAUAUGUUCAAACCCACUAGCUUAAACCCAUAUAUUCAAAUGUUCCAACCCUUGUUCCUCACACAGCAAAGCAUGGAUUCAUCGUGUCAACCUCUUUAUCUUCCUUGCGUGUCAUCCUUCAUCGUGUAAGCACCAUCAUGAUGAGUUUUUCUGUGCAAUAGUAGAUAAUGCAUCCAAUUAGCUAUAACUGCUUGCUUCCUAAGCCAAAGCAAAACAAACUAUUAUACACAAACAAGGUAUAAAUUGCUGAUUAAUGUCACUGUUCCGAUAACAAAACCAAUACACACAUAACAUAGUAAACACAUAAGCAGUCAGAAUAUAACAUAAUAUUGGAGAAAAGCAAAAUGUGACAAACAUGGUCUUUAAAGAGUGAUCAUCUUGAUUAGAAUUAAGUACUAUCUCCAUUCCUAAAUAUAAGACGGUCUUAUAUUUAGGAAUUAAACUGCCCAAACGCCUUAUAUUUAGGAAUGGAGGUAGUAGAUAAUUCCGACUGGACAAAAGCCCGACUAUGUGAAUACUAGAAACAAACAGCAGCAAGACAAGCAACCCAACAUUUUAGUGAAAUGACGAUAUAUUCCGAGAGAAAGGAUGUGCAGAAGUAAUACCCUCUCAAAUGUGGAAAUGUGGAAGUUUAUGGUGCAAUACAGAAUCUCCUUUUAUCCAGAGCUUCACAAGUUCCCU